AGCAGCCGCGGUAAUUCCAGCUCCAAUAGCGUAUAUUAAAGUUGUCGCAGUUAAAAGCUCGUAGUUGAAUUUCGGGAUCAGUAUGUUGGUCGUGCUUCGGUACGUACUCUCAUUACUGGUUUCUACCUUCUGAAGAACCUUGAUGUCAUUAAUUUGGUGUCUUGGGGAAUCAGGACUGUUACUUUGAAAAAUUAGAGUGUUUAAAGCAAGCAUACGCUUGAAUACAUUAGCAUGGAAUAAUGAAAUAGGACGUUUGAUUCUAUUUUGUUGGUUUCUAGGAUCGACGUAAUGAUUAAUAGGGAUAGUUGGGGGCAUUAGUAUUCAAUUGUCAGAGGUGAAAUUCUUGGAUUUAUUGAAGACUAACUACUGCGAAAGCAUUUGCCAAGGAUGUUUUCAUUAAUCAAGAACGAAAGUUAGGGAUCGAAGACGAUCAGAUACCGUUGUAGUCUU
This 450-nucleotide ribosomal RNA is filed under the name uncultured Glomeromycotina. RNAcentral describes it as "SSU rRNA". It matches the Rfam family "Eukaryotic small subunit ribosomal RNA", at positions 569 to 1027 of the family's 1831-position model. Lineage: Eukaryota; Fungi; Glomeromycota. The record is from RNAcentral.